RNAcentral lists this unclassified non-coding RNA (328 nucleotides) under soil metagenome. RNAcentral's name for it is "partial contains 5.8S ribosomal RNA, internal transcribed spacer 2, and large subunit ribosomal RNA". The stretch from base 1 to 120 matches the Rfam family "5.8S ribosomal RNA", at positions 35 to 154 of the family's 154-position model. The record is from RNAcentral.
GAUGAAGAACGCAGCGAAAUGCGACAAGUAAUGUGAAUUGCAGAAUUCCGUGAAUCAUCGAAUCUUUGAACGCACAUUGCGCCCCUUGGUAUUCCGAGGGGCAUGCCUGUUCGAGCGUCAUUAUAACCCCUCAAGCUCAGCUUGGUGUUGGGGCCUGCCGCACGGGCAGCCCUUAAAAUCAGUGGCGGUGCCAUCUGGCUCUAAGCGUAGUAAUUCUUCUCGCUAUAGAGUCCCGGUGGAUGCUUGCCAUUAACCCCCAAUUUUCUAUGGUUGACCUCGGAUCAGGUAGGGAUACCCGCUGAACUUAAGCAUAUCAAUAAGCGGAGGA